RNAcentral lists this ribosomal RNA (406 nucleotides) under uncultured bacterium. RNAcentral describes it as "partial 16S ribosomal RNA". It matches the Rfam family "Bacterial small subunit ribosomal RNA", at positions 30 to 526 of the family's 1533-position model. The record is from RNAcentral.
AUUGAACGCUGGCGGCAGGCCUAACACAUGCAAGUCGAGCGAGCGGCGGACGGGUGAGUAAUGUCUGGGAACCUGCCUGAUGGAGGGGGAUAACUACUGGAAACGGUAGCUAAUACCGCAUCCCAUCAGUUGUGCCCAGGUGGGAUUAGCUGGUAGGUGGGGUAACGGCUCACAUAGGCGACGAUCCCUAGCUGGUCUGAGAGGAUGACCAGCCACACUGGAAGUGAGAAACGGGCCAGACUCCUACGGAAGGCAGCAGUGGGGAAUAUUGCACAAUGGGGGCAAGCCUGCUGCAGCCAUGCCGCGUGUGUGAAGAAGGCUGUCGGGUUGUAAAGCACUUUCAGCGGGGAGACGUUACCCGAAGAAGAAGCACCGGCUAACUCCGUGCCAGCAGCCGCGGUAAUAC